UAUUCUCAAUUGCCGGUGGUGGUGGGGGCGGCGGUGGGGGUGAGGAAUAUGAAUACUCAUUAGGUGGAGGAGGAUUUUGAUAAUGAGAAGGUGAUGGUGGGUAAUGCCAAUGAUGCUGUGGGGGUGGGUGGUGGUAGCUUGGUGUGGAUGUUGGCGGCGGUUCUAAUGGUGGUGAGUGGUGAUAGCUUGGUGUAGAUGUUGGUGGCGAUGAUGGUGGUGGGUGGUGAUAGUUUGGUGAGGAGGAUGGCGGCGGUGAUUCUGGAGUGGUGCAUCCAGGCCCAUGUGGAGGAGGUGGACUUGCCGUUGAAUGCUCAUGAGUUGGAGGAGGGGAGUGUGUAUAUCCAUUCUUUGGUGGAGGAGGAGGCGGACUUACCGGUGAAUGCUCAUGAGUUGGAGGAGGAGAGUGUGUAUAGCCAUUCGUUGGUGGAGGAGGCGGCGGUGGUGAUGGAUGGUAUUGAUAGGGAGGGGCAUGAUAAUUAACAGGUGGUGGUGGAGGUGCUUCAUGUUGAUAGGGAGGUGGGUUGUACUCGACAGGUGGCGGUGGCGGUGCUUCAUGUUGAUAGGGAGGUGGGUUGUACGUGGCAGGUGGGGGUGAAUGCUCAGGUGCAGAGGGUGUAUGUUCAACUGGUGGCGGCGGAGGAGUUUGAUGUGUACUUGGCGAAACCUUUUUAGUAGGCGGGGGUGGAGCAUAAGAAUGGGAAUGGCUAGGUGGAGGAGGUGGGAAUGAGUGCUCGACAGGAGGUGAUGGUGGUGGCAGAUGUAUUUUGGGUGAUACCUUUUCAGCAGGCGGUGGCGGUGAAGAUGGUGGGUUGAAUGACGUUGUGGGAGGGGGAGGAG
RNAcentral lists this long non-coding RNA (837 nucleotides) under Jatropha curcas. Its description in RNAcentral is "long non-coding RNA (JCUR_LNC002558)". Lineage: Eukaryota; Viridiplantae; Streptophyta; Magnoliopsida; Malpighiales; Euphorbiaceae. The record is from RNAcentral.